Molecule: ribosomal RNA, 467 nt
Filed under: uncultured bacterium
Lineage: Bacteria
Description: partial 16S ribosomal RNA
Rfam family: Bacterial small subunit ribosomal RNA
Source: RNAcentral
GACGAACGCUGGCGGCGUGCUUAACACAUGCAAGUCGAACGGAAAGGCCCCAGCUUGCUGGCGCACUCGAGUAGCGAACGGGUGAGAAACACGUGGGCAAUCUGCCCUGCACUCUGGGAUAAGCCUGAGACACUGGGUUUACUACUGGAUCUGUCCCUUCUCCUUAUGGGGUUUGGUGGAAAGUUUUUCGGUGUAGGAUGAGCCCGCGGCCUAUCAGCUUGUUGGUGGGGUGAUGGCCUACCAAGGCGACGACGGGUAGCCGGCCUGAGAGGGUGAGCGGCCACAUUGGGACUGAGAUACGGCCCAGACACCUACGGGAGGCAGCAGUGGGGAAUAUUGCACAAUGGGCGGAAGCCUGAUGCAGCGACGCCGCGUGAGGGAUGACGGCCUUCGGGUUGUAAACCUCUUUCAGCAGGGACGAAGCGUAAGUGACGGUACCUGCAGAAGAAGCACCGGCUAACUAUGUG